UGAGAGGAAGAUCAGCCCACCACUGGGACUGAGACCCCGGCCCCAGACUCCUACGGGAGGCAGCCAGUGGGGAAUAUUGCACCAAUGGGGGAAACCCUGAUGCAGCCAUGCCGCGUGUGUGAAGAAGGCCCUUCGGGUUGUAAAGCACUUUCAGUUGUGAGGAAAGGUUGGUAGUUAAUACCUGCCAGCUGUGACGUUAACAACAGAAGAAGCACCGGCUAACUCCGUGCCAGCAGCCGCGGUAAUACGGAGGGUGCGAGCGUUAAUCGGAAUUACUGGGCGUAAAGCGCACGCCAGGCGGUUUGUUAAGCUAGAUGUGAAAGCCCCGGGCUCAACCUGGGAUGGUCAUUUAGAACUGGCAGACUAGAGUCUUGGAGAGGGGAGUGGAAUUCCAGGUGUAGCGGUGAAAUGCGUAGAGAUCUGGNANGGAACAUCAGUGGCGAAGGCGACUCCCUGGCCAAAGACUGACGCUCAUGUGCGAAAGUGUGGGUAGCGAACANGNGNAUUAGAUACCCUGGUAGUCCACACCGUAAACGCUGUCUACUAGCUGUGUGUGUAUUUUAUACGUGCGUAGCGAAGCUAACGCGCUAAGUAGACCGCCUGGGGANGUNACNGGCCGCAAGGUUAAAACUCAAAUGAAUUGACGGGGGCCCGCACAAGCGGUGGAGCAUGUGGUUUAAUUCGAUGCAACGCGAAGAACCUUACCUACACUUGACAUGCAGAGAACUUUCUAGAGAUAGAUUGGUGCCUUCGGGAACUCUGACACAGGUGCUGCAUGGCUGUCGUCAGCUCGUGUCGUGAGAUGUUGGGUUAAGUCCCGCAACGAGCGCAACCCUUGUCCUUAGUUGCCAGCCUUAAGUUGGGCACUCUAAGGAGACUGCCGGUGACAAACCGGAGGAAGGUGGGGACGACGUCAAGUCAUCAUGGCCCUUACGUGUAGGGCUACACACGUGCUACAAUGGCAAGUACAGAGGGAAGCGAGACAGUGAUGUGGAGCGGA
RNAcentral lists this ribosomal RNA (1000 nucleotides) under uncultured bacterium. Its description in RNAcentral is "bacterial SSU rRNA". It matches the Rfam family "Bacterial small subunit ribosomal RNA", at positions 293 to 1271 of the family's 1533-position model. The record is from RNAcentral.